ACCCCUACGGGAGGCAGCAGUGAGGAAUAUUGGUCAAUGGUCGGGAGACUGAACCAGCCAAGCCGCGUGAGGGAUGAAGGUACAGAGUAUCGUAAACUUCUUUUGUCAGGGAACAAAGGCGGGUACGCGUCCCCGGAUGAGUGGACCUGAAGAAAAAGCAUCGGCUAACUCCGUGCCAGCAGCCGCGGUAAUACGGAGGAUGCGAGCGUUAUCCGGAUUUAUUGGGUUUAAAGGGUGCGCAGGCGGUCUGUUAAGUCAGCGGUCAAAGCCCGGGGCUCAACCCCGGCCCGCCGUUGUAACCGGCG
RNAcentral lists this ribosomal RNA (305 nucleotides) under uncultured bacterium. Its description in RNAcentral is "bacterial SSU rRNA". It matches the Rfam family "Bacterial small subunit ribosomal RNA", at positions 335 to 638 of the family's 1533-position model. The record is from RNAcentral.